CCUACGGGUGGCAGCAGUGAGGAAUAUUGGUCAAUGGCCGAGAGGCUGAACCAGCCAAGUCGCGUGAGGGAAGACGGCCCUACGGGUUGUAAACCUCUUUUGUCGGGGAGCAAAGCGAGUCACGUGUGACUCAUUGCGAGUACCCGAAGAAAAAGCAUCGGCUAACUCCGUGCCAGCAGCCGCGGUAAUCCGGAGGGUGCGGGCGUUAUCCGGAUUUAUUGGGUGUAAAGGGUGCGCAGGCGGAGGUGCAAGUCAGCGGUAAAAUUGCGGGGCUCAACCCCGCACUGCCGGGGAAACUGGAGCCCUUGAGUGCGCGAGAAGUAGGCGGAAUGCGUGGUGUAGCGGUGAAAUGCAUAGAUAUCACGAAGAACUCCGAUUGCGAAGGCAGCAUGCCGGAGCGCAACUGACGCUCAUGCACGAAAGCGUGGGUAUCGAACAGGAUUAGAUACCCCUGUAGUC
RNAcentral lists this ribosomal RNA (459 nucleotides) under uncultured bacterium. Its description in RNAcentral is "partial 16S ribosomal RNA". It matches the Rfam family "Bacterial small subunit ribosomal RNA", at positions 338 to 795 of the family's 1533-position model. The record is from RNAcentral.